RNAcentral lists this ribosomal RNA (289 nucleotides) under Chaetoceros curvisetus. Its description in RNAcentral is "partial Eukaryotic small subunit ribosomal RNA". It matches the Rfam family "Eukaryotic small subunit ribosomal RNA", at positions 153 to 444 of the family's 1831-position model. The record is from RNAcentral. Lineage: Eukaryota; Bacillariophyta; Thalassiosirophyceae; Chaetocerotales; Chaetocerotaceae.
UAAUUCUAGAGCUAAUACAUGCAGGAAGUCCCGACUUCGGAAGGGAUGUAUUUAUUAGAUAAGAAACCAAUCCGGCUUGCCGGUUGCGUGCUGAGUCACAAUAACUGCUCGAAUCGCAUGGCCUUGCGCCGGCGAUGGUUCAUUCAAAUUUCUGCCCUAUCAACUUUCGAUGGUAGGAUAGUGGCCUACCAUGGUAUCAACGGGUAACGGGGAAUUAGGGUUCGACUCCGGAGAGGGAGCCUGAGAAACGGCUACCACAUCCAAGGAAGGCAGCAGGCGCGUAAAUUAC